RNAcentral lists this long non-coding RNA (986 nucleotides) under Salmo salar (Atlantic salmon). RNAcentral's name for it is "lncRNA (ENSSSAG00000114605.1, ENSSSAG00000119697.1)". The record is from RNAcentral. Lineage: Eukaryota; Metazoa; Chordata; Actinopteri; Salmoniformes; Salmonidae.
CAACUUUCAAAGGAUCAGAGAAUGAAUCUAGUACUGAAAGCAUACGCUAGAGCUAGCUAGCACUGCAGUGCAUACAAUGUGGUGAGUAGUUGACUCAAAGAGAAAGAAAGACAAUAGUUUAACAGUUUUCAACAAAUGAAUUUCUUCAAAAAUGAAGGCAAGAGAGAAAGAGAGAUUUCAUCAUUUUCUUUCACUUUCAGUUUCACUUACUAGCAAACUCAGCUGGCUAGUUUAGUUACUCAAACACCCGGCUCAAACAGAGGGAUGCUAUGUUAGCUAGCUGGCUAUGACUAUCCAUCACAACACUGGAACUCUUCCAAGUCAAGAUGAAGUCCUGCAACUAGUGAGGUACGGUCACCCGACAACCUACCCAUUUGAUCCCAUCCUCCAUUCUCCUGACCAUCUCUGGAUACCUUUUACCAUUCCUCACUUCCCUAUCAACUCAUCCCUGACCACUGGUUGCAUCCCCUCUGACUUCAAAAUGGCCCGAAUCGCUCCCAUCCUCAAGAAACCAACACCCGACUCAUCUGACGUCAAAAACUACAGACCAGUAUCCCUUAUUUAUUUUCUUUGCAAAACACUUGUGUGCUGUCUCUGACAAACUAUCUCACUAUCUCUCUCAGAAUAAUCUUCUUGACCCUAACCAGUCAGGUUUUUGUCCUAGGCUGAAAGGCUUGCCAAGAACCAUUACUGUUUACAGUUGGAAUGAUCAGUACACAGGUAUCAUUUUUCACCUCAUAUGUUACAACUUUAUUCUCCUCAAACAAGGUCUCUUUGUGUUGGACAAAAAAACUUGACCAUGUGUUCUGUAGACUGAAAAUGUACCCUGGAAAAUGUAUUAACAGGAAAAGUAUUUUUGUCUUAGUUUAACCAAGAUUUCAACCACAAAUUGGAUGGUUGAUCUGACAUCUUUUCAGACUUCCCAGAAUGGGCUCAUUGUGCUUUCCUCAGUGGUGUCUUCAGUAGUUGUUCUAUAAAUAGUUGAG